CCUACGGGAGGCAGCAGUGGGGGAUAUUGCACAAUGGAGGGAACUCUGAUGCAGCAACGCCGCGUGAGUGAAGAAGUAUUUCGGUAUGUAAAGCUCUAUCAGCAGGGAAGAUAAUGACAGUACCUGAAUAAGAAGCCCCGGCUAACUACGUGCCAGCAGCCGCGGUAAUACGUAGGGGGCAAGCGUUAUCCGGAUUUACUGGGUGUAAAGGGAGCGUAGACGGCGAAGCAAGUCUGAAGUGAAAAUCCGGGGCUCAACUCCGGAAGUGCUUUGGAAACUGUUUUGAUAGAGUGUCGGAGAGGUAAGUGGAAUUCCUGGUGUAGCGGUGAAAUGCGUAGAUAUCAGGAAGAACACCGGAGGCGAAGGCGGCUUACUGGACGAUAACUGACGUUGAGGCUCGAAAGCGUGGGAAGCAAACAGGAUUAGAUACCCGUGUAGUC
RNAcentral lists this ribosomal RNA (440 nucleotides) under uncultured Oribacterium sp. RNAcentral's name for it is "bacterial SSU rRNA". It matches the Rfam family "Bacterial small subunit ribosomal RNA", at positions 338 to 795 of the family's 1533-position model. The record is from RNAcentral. Lineage: Bacteria; Bacillati; Bacillota; Clostridia; Lachnospirales; Lachnospiraceae.